GCUCGAUGAGUAGGGCGGGACACGUGGUAUCCUGUCUGAAUAUGGGGGGACCAUCCUCCAAGGCUAAAUACUCCUGACUGACCGAUAGUGAACCAGUACCGUGAGGGAAAGGCGAAAAGAACCCCGGCGAGGGGAGUGAAAAAGAACCUGAAACCGUGUACGUACAAGCAGUGGGAGCACAGAGCAAUCUGUGUGACUGCGUACCUUUUGUAUAAUGGGUCAGCGACUUAUAUUCUGUAGCAAGGUUAACCGAAUAGGGGAGCCGAAGGGAAACCGAGUCUUAACUGGGCGUUAAGUUGCAGGGUAUAGACCCGAAACCCGGUGAUCUAGCCAUGGGCAGGUUGAAGGUUGGGUAACACUAACUGGAGGACCGAACCGACUAAUGUUGAAAAAUUAGCGGAUGACUUGUGGCUGGGGGUGAAAGGCCAAUCAAACCGGGAGAUAGCUGGUUCUCCCCGAAAGCUAUUUAGGUAGCGCCUCGUGAAUUCAUCUCCGGGGGUAGAGCACUGUUUCGGCAAGGGGGUCAUCCCGA
RNAcentral lists this ribosomal RNA (532 nucleotides) under Escherichia coli. Its description in RNAcentral is "partial 23S ribosomal RNA". It matches the Rfam family "Bacterial large subunit ribosomal RNA", at positions 403 to 934 of the family's 2925-position model. The record is from RNAcentral. Lineage: Bacteria; Pseudomonadati; Pseudomonadota; Gammaproteobacteria; Enterobacterales; Enterobacteriaceae.